UUGCCUGUGCUUUAAUAUAUGAUGAUUUUAGAUGUAUUGAACUUUUCAUCCUCACCUGGGUCACAGCCUAAAGAGGAGAAGAUGUGAUGGUGGCAAACAUAACUUUCUGGAGCGGCUUCAAGGGGUUGCACACCUGUUGUCAGAGGUAUCAUUGUUUUCUUUCUCACUUCUUGUUGUUCUCCAUCUAAAACAAUUCGCCUUAGUCCGUAAGAUAACUCAUGGUAUUGGAUUGCCAAACUCGGCCUACCAUGAGGAUUGCUUGCUAGAAUUUACUGGCAUUAAUAACUUCAGCUCGUCCCCUGCC
RNAcentral lists this long non-coding RNA (304 nucleotides) under Nicotiana benthamiana. RNAcentral describes it as "long non-coding RNA (NBEN_LNC001763)". The record is from RNAcentral. Lineage: Eukaryota; Viridiplantae; Streptophyta; Magnoliopsida; Solanales; Solanaceae.